Molecule: ribosomal RNA, 484 nt
Filed under: uncultured bacterium
Lineage: Bacteria
Description: partial 16S ribosomal RNA
Rfam family: Bacterial small subunit ribosomal RNA
Source: RNAcentral
ACUCAAAGGAAUAGACGGGGACCCGCACAAGCGGUGGAGCGUGUUGUUUAAUUCGACGAUAAGCGAAGAACCUUACCAGGGUUUGACAUCCUUGGAAUUUCUGUGAAAGCAGAAAGUGCCUUUUGGAACCAAGUGACAGGUGAUGCAUGGCCGUCGUCAGCUCGUGUCGUGAGAUGUUGGGUUAAGUCCCUCAACGAGCGCAACCCUUAUGAAUAGUUGGAUUUUUCUAUUCAGACCGCCUCGGCAACGGGGAGGAAGGAGGGGAUGAUGUCAGGUCAGUAUUUCCCUUACACCCUGGGCUACAAACACGCUACAAUGGCCGGUACAAAGAGCUGCAAUGCCGCGAGGCGAAGCAAAUCCCAUCAAAGCCGGUCCCAGUUCGGAUUGCAGGCUGAAAUUCGCCUGCAUGAAGUCGGAAUCGCUAGUAACCGUAGGUCAGCACACUACGGUGAAUACGUUCCCGGGUCUUGUACACACCGCCCGU